Molecule: transfer RNA, 73 nt
Filed under: Ovis aries (sheep)
Lineage: Eukaryota; Metazoa; Chordata; Mammalia; Artiodactyla; Bovidae
Rfam family: tRNA
About the family: Transfer RNA (tRNA) molecules are approximately 80 nucleotides in length. Their secondary structure includes four short double-helical elements and three loops (D, anti-codon, and T loops).
Source: Rfam by way of RNAcentral
UCCCUGGUGGCUCAAAGGUUAAAGCGUCUGCCUGCAAUGCGGGAGGACCCAGGUUCAUCCCCUGGGUAGGGAA